CCUACGGGAGGCAGCAGUGGGGAAUAUUGCACAAUGGGGCAAACCCUGAUGCAGCGACGCCGCGUGAGUGAAGAAGUAUUUCGGUACGUAAAGCUCUAUCAGCAGGGAAGUAAAUGACGGUACCUGACUAAGAAGCCCCGGCUAACUACGUGCCAGCAGCCGCGGUAAUACGUAGGGGGCAAGCGUUAUCCGGAUUUACUGGGUGUAAAGGGAGCGUAGACGGCAGCGCAAGUCUGGAGUGAAAUCCCAUGGCUUAACCAUGGAACUGCUUUGGAAACUGUGCAGCUAGAGUGCAGGAGAGGUAAGCGGAAUUCCUAGUGUAGCGGUGAAAUGCGUAGAUAUUAGGAGGAACACCAGUGGCGAAGGCGGCUUACUGGACUGUAACUGACGUUGAGGCUCGAAAGCGUGGGGAGCAAACAGGAUUAGAUACCCUUGUAGUC
RNAcentral lists this ribosomal RNA (440 nucleotides) under uncultured bacterium. RNAcentral describes it as "partial 16S ribosomal RNA". It matches the Rfam family "Bacterial small subunit ribosomal RNA", at positions 338 to 795 of the family's 1533-position model. The record is from RNAcentral.